CGGCCUUCUCCUGGGGGAGAAACAUAAUGAUGUGUUAGUCACUCUAAUGCAUGGCUGGAGGGGCUCCACUGUAGCAGGCGCCACUGUCCCCUUCACAUCCCUGUUCACUGUGGAAGGUGUGUGUAUUUGCAUUUUGUCAGAGACACGUUUGUGAUGUACGUGUGUGUGUGCGCACGCUGUGGGAGGUUUGUUAAAUGUGUUUUAGAAAGACAUGAGUGCAAGGCCUAGAUUCUGUCAGCCUAUUCAAGGUGUAUAUUGCAUCUCACAUUCCAGUGUUCGAACUUGUAAACAGGGCUCCAUGGGAUUUAUCUUAAUGCAACUCCAUACAGCCAAUGGCAAUGUCCGUUUUAGGUAUAAUGCUGGGAGCCGCUUGUGGAUUUGACAGCUCUAACACAGUUCCACCUCCGACACCACAAAAACAACAGCUACGCGGGUGUUGGAUGGCAUGAAUCUGAUAGAAUCUAGCCCUAAGUGUUGGCAUCAUGUGUGUUGUCAUCGUCUUCCACACACUUGACAGCGACCCCGACAGGAGUGGGAUGCAACCUCCCUACACCCUACCGCCCAACCGACCAAUCUCCCUUCAGGCCUAUAACAGAAAUAAUCCACCUAUCACAACAACUUGGGGAAACUCCAUUUUCUGCCACAAUAUCGCCAUCUCUCCUCUUUGUUCAGCCAUCUUUAAUCAUUUCUAGUUAUUGAGUGAUUCCUUUCGCAAAUCAAACAUUGUUUUUAUUUUAGUACCAGUGUGUGCUGUUGUGGUAUAGGUGAGGGCUGUAUUUUCUUUGGUUGACAUAAUGAUUCUCGGCGAGAAUUUGAAGACGCCCACUUUGAAAGGAUGAGAGCAAAACGGACGUUACUUCGUGGUCUCUGUUAACGUAGGACACUGUGGUUGACUGUGUGCUUGUUUUUAGACAGCUCACCUACAGUAUACUGUGUAGUGCAGGGGCCAAGAAUAAUAGGAAUAAUGUGAAUUCACUCAAAACUCAAAAAUGUGGGUUCCUGAGUGGCGCAGCGGUGUAAGGCACUCCAUCUGAAUCCAGGCUGCAUCACAUCCAGCCUUGAUUGGGAGUCCCAUAGGACGGGGCACAAUUGGUCAAGCCUCGUCCGGGUUAGGCCGUCAUUGUAAAUAAGAAUUUGUUCUUAAAUUACUUGCCUAGUUAAAUAAGGUUACAUUAAAAAUAUAUAUAAUAAUAAUAAAUCCACUACCCAGACAUUCACACAAUCACCGAAGAGGAUUUAAAAAAAGAUUUAUAGGAACGUUUACAAAGUUUGUGUAUAAUCAGUGUUUGCAUCGCCGAUGAAUCACAAAACGUAAUUAUUGACAAGAAGAGGUGUUAAUCCUAUCUGGUGUUUCCAGAGGGAAGAAAAUAGGUGUGACACAGCAGCACUGACCGAGCAGGCUUUAGAUGAUUCAUUUGGGUCCCUGUUCAUUUGAGAAUGAGAGGGAGAGUCCUCAGUAAACACUUUACUUAAGCAUGCAGGUACAACCAUUCUGUAAGGCUUGCUUAUAAAACGUUAUAACGUAUUACUACUACAGGCUUCAAGUAAAAGUGUUACUGAGUCAUUUUCUCAACACCAGUGAUAAGCUCUCACACCAAUGAGCAGGUAGAACAAGCUUAUCUUCUAAUCAGAAAUCCCAUCUGACAGCCAAUCAAUUGUCUCCAUCCCUUUUCAUGAAACACCAGGACUUCAACGUUAAUAUGAGAACUGCUGAUAGGUGAGUACCCAGGAAGUGUUUGGUGGCAUUGGUUUGAAGUAAAUUGAAUACAUUUAUUGCAUUGAAUGUGUAUAAAGGAAUGAUUUAAAGAAAAGAGUACAUCUAUAGAAUAAUGAUAUGUAUAAUAUUUCUAAAAAGGUUUCGAGAGAGAAUUUCUAUGAAAGAAUAUGACCAUUGCAUCCACCCUCAGAACUUAUUUCCUUGUCACUUUACCCCUGUUUUGUGUUUGGAUAGUGCCUCAAAUAGCUCAUUAUUCUCUACAUAGUGCCCCAUUUCUGGCCUUUCUGCCUCUGAACUAGAUUAUAACUACCACAUAAUGCACUGCAAAGAGAAGUGUGGAAGCCAUGUAUUCUACUGUACCCAGAUUACCUAUAUAUUAUAACAUAUCACUAAAACGUGAACAGUAUGUGUGAUCAUUUGAGACAUUAUCCAUGAUUCCAUCAGUUCACAGGGAUGUUCUAUGAACAUAACCAUGAUUGUUUGGAUUGUCUGCAAUUUAGGGUCUCCUGUUGGACCAAAAAAAAAGCUCCCUUGGUGAGAUUCCUUUCUCUCGCUCCCUGUCCCUGUGUGCAACAGUAUGAUGAUGAAGGGAAGACAAAGGGAUGAUAAAAUAAAAAAGGGAAUACCAGGCUGACAGAAAGAGAGGACCUGUAGGAGUUUUAACGCUGCUAUAAUCCAUUCAUUAUUUUAAAAGAAACAACAAGAGUGACAUAGAAAAAAAAGCACAGUAUUUUUUAUGAUUAUAUAGAAUUAUAUGGAAUUUUCUAAAAGACAUUUGGAGAAAAAUGUGGUUUGCCAAAAAUAUAUAUAUAUAUAUAUAUUUUUUUUUAUAUAUAUAUAUAUUAUAUAUAAAUAUGAAUUAAUAGAAAUUAAUAUUAUCAGAUUUAUGAGGAAACUAAGAAGCAAUAUUUUUACUGAAUGGAUCUCCUUGGUUGUGGUUUUUCCCAGUCUUAAGAUGAACUAUCAUGAUAUAUCAUCACCUGUUGAUGUUAUGAACACUGAUAGCUGGAGUGGACAGAAGACAUUUGUCCAAUCAAAAUGUAUUUUAUACACUAUCCUCUGGCCAUCACCUGCCUAUCUUGAAUAUUGUAAUUUUUGACAAUUCCAAUCACUUAGUCUGUGUAUAAUGUGUGUAUAAAUGACUGAAACGCUUUAAAUGUAUACAUAAGCUCACAGUCCACUGGAUCGAAAACUGUCCCGAUGACACUUUUAUGCUCAACUUACAUAAGACAUGUACAAAAAAAGACUAGUUGUGACUGUUGACUUCAUGGAAAAAAACAACAUAUCACUAAGCUAAUUUAUUUGCAGAAUUAUAGAACUGAGUAGUCGUAUUAAGAUGCUAUACAAACCAUCACUGUGUGACUAUAAGGCUAUGCUACAUAAGGACUGGCGUGGCUCACUAUCAUCACAACACAGUCCUUCACUUAAACAUCGGCAACGAUUUUGAUACUUUUGUUAUUUUCUCUUAUGAUUGAAUUUUUUAAUUUUAUUUUUUAUUCUACAUAAUUACAAAGACGUUUCUGGCUCUUUGUGUAUAUUUGUGUUCAUGUUCCAUAUGUUGUAAUUCUGCAUACUUAGAGUCGACUAUCUAAUUAUCAAAAUGAAAAAGAAAGAGAAGUUCCUUGUAACUGCACUCUUCCUUCCCCCCAAAUCCUCAAUACUUCUUGUAUGGCAACCAAACAAAAGUUACUGUAAGAAAUAAAUAUAACAUUGCACUAUGGUUGUAUUCAUUUAAUUCCUGAUGUGCCGAUUUUUGUGUU
Molecule: long non-coding RNA, 3477 nt
Organism: Oncorhynchus tshawytscha (Chinook salmon)
Lineage: Eukaryota; Metazoa; Chordata; Actinopteri; Salmoniformes; Salmonidae
Source: Ensembl